Molecule: ribosomal RNA, 451 nt
Filed under: uncultured bacterium
Lineage: Bacteria
Description: partial 16S ribosomal RNA
Rfam family: Bacterial small subunit ribosomal RNA
Source: RNAcentral
AGCGAAUGCUGGCGGCAGGCUUAACACAUGCAAGUCGAGCGGGCAUCUUCGGGUGUCAGCGGCGGACGGGUGAGUAACGCGUGGGAACGUGCCUUCUGGUUCGGAAUAAAUCAGGGAAACUUGAGCUAAUACCGGAUACGCCCUUUUGGGGAAAGGGUUACUGCCGGAAGAUCGGCCCGCGUCUGAUUAGCUAGGUGGUGGGGUAACGGCCUACCAAGGCGACGAUCAGUAGCUGGUCUGAGAGGAUGAUCAGCCACACUGGGACUGCGACACGGCCCAGACUCCUACGGGCGGCAGCAGUGGGGAAUAUUGGACAAUGGGCGCAAGCCUGAUCCAGCCAUGCCGCGUGAGUGAUGAAGGCCUUAGGGUUGUAAAGCUCUUUUAUCCGGGACGAUAAUGACAGUACCGGAGGAAUAAGCCCCGGCUAACUUCGUGCCAGCCGCCGCCGUAA